GAGACACCCCUCCGGGGCAAGACUUGCUUCAAUGGGGCUUUGGUGCUCACUGAGUCUGCUCCCUGAGUAUGUCCUU
Molecule: microRNA precursor, 76 nt
Filed under: Myotis davidii
Lineage: Eukaryota; Metazoa; Chordata; Mammalia; Chiroptera; Vespertilionidae
Description: mir-9229 microRNA precursor family
Rfam family: mir-9229 microRNA precursor family
Source: Rfam by way of RNAcentral